Molecule: ribosomal RNA, 429 nt
Filed under: Gemmatimonadota bacterium
Lineage: Bacteria; Pseudomonadati; Gemmatimonadota
Description: Gemmatimonadetes bacterium partial 16S ribosomal RNA
Rfam family: Bacterial small subunit ribosomal RNA
Source: RNAcentral
UAGGGAAUCUUCGGCAAUGGACGAAAGUCUGACCGAGCAACGCCGCGUGAGUGAAGAAGGUUUUCGGAUCGUAAAACUCUGUUGUUAGAGAAGAACAAGGACGUUAGUAACUGAACGUCCCCUGACGGUAUCUAACCAGAAAGCCACGGCUAACUACGUGCCAGCAGCCGCGGUAAUACGUAGGUGGCAAGCGUUGUCCGGAUUUAUUGGGCGUAAAGCGAGCGCAGGCGGUUUCUUAAGUCUGAUGUGAAAGCCCCCGGCUCAACCGGGGAGGGUCAUUGGAAACUGGGAGACUUGAGUGCAGAAGAGGGGAGUGGAAUUCAAUGUGUAGCGGUGAAAUGCGUAGAUAUAUGGAGGAACACCAGUGGCGAAGGCGGCUCUCUGGUCUGAAACUGACGCUGAGGCUCGAAAGCGUGGGGAGCAAACAGG